Molecule: RNA transcript, 1558 nt
Organism: Triticum aestivum (bread wheat)
Lineage: Eukaryota; Viridiplantae; Streptophyta; Magnoliopsida; Poales; Poaceae
Gene name: 4-O-methyl-glucuronoyl methylesterase 1
Exons: 3
Source: RefSeq, a predicted model, not a curated record
CUCCCUGCUCCCAAUGUCCCCGCCGCCGCCGCCACCUCCUCCCCGUACCCGCCCCUCCCGAUCCAGUCCUCUCCCACCCACCGCCGACCUUGCCGUCCUCCUCACCCACCACCGCCGACCUCGUCCCUCCCUCCCCUCUCCGCAUCUUCCGGCCAACUCUACGCCCGAGGAGAUCGAGCGAGCGCCCGAGUGCGCCCGUCCUCGCAGCCUCCUCCCACGAUUCCCCGCGCCCGAGCCCCACGAGAGGAGCUCCUCCUGUGUUUUUGCACGCCGCCGCCGGCGACCACCAGCCACAGCUUGCCGGAGCCAGCAGAUGAGUGCCACCCUUCUUCUCUAUUCUCUUCUUCCCGUGCUCUCUUUCUUCCUCCUUUCUCUCUCUCACACAUCUCAAUUUCUCUCUCUGUCUCAAACAGUGCACUUCGCCGCCAUGGACGCUCGUGUCCCCGACCUUGCAGCGCGCCGCCCCGAUGCGAAGUCCCUCCUGGUCGUUCCUGCGCCGCUGGGCCGAAGCCUCGCCCAAGUCCAAGCGCCGCCCACGUUUGCCUCCUCGCCAUGGCCUCCCCUGCUUCGUCUGCUUCGCGGACAGAGCUCCGUCUCCGUCAACGUGUCCUCCCGCCGUCUCUGUUCGCUGUCGGGCUCAAUCGACUCCAGCAGCACCCCCACGGUGUCGCUCCGCUCGGCACCCGAGUGUCUCUCCAGCUUGCAGUAGCAGCUCUCUUCUCCAGUGCGCCCACCAGCCAGGCCGUUCGUCUCCAGCUCUCCGCUCUGGCUCUGUAUUGCGUUGUUCAUUCAAUCAGGGAUCUAUUCCAAGGUCUCGGGUCCGCCCUCUCCAUGGAGAAAGGAGAUAUCUAUUCAUUUUGCCAUUAGGAGUAGUUUUACUGCAGUACUGCUUGAACUACUCCAAGCAUUAGGAGUACUGUAAAGCGAGUAAAUGGAGGGCGAGGAAUUUUUACUGCAAUGUAGGAUUGCACAGGGAGUUGUUAGUAGUAGAUGUUGAUGAUCAUAGUCAGGAGAUGGAGGGUGACACACAGCCAUGGAGAGGAGCGGCAGCUCAAGGUCCUUUCUCCUCCACGCCACCUCUGCCCCUCUCUCGUUUUGAUUUGCUAUGUUGGGUUCCAAGAUUAGAAAUAUUUUUUGUUUCCAUCUUUAUCCAUGUGCUAUCAUUAACUCUGAGAAAAUGUUAUGUUUUUGCUGAUUAGUGGCAAUACAUCUUUGCUUUACUAUUCCUAGCAGCUGCAGUUCAUCUACCAUAAACAUGUUGUGUACAUUCUGAACCCCCAAACAUGACAUAAGUGAUAUGUAUAUGCAACAGGGAAUCGUCAACUUGUACAGUUUGUUUACUGGAAUGUAACUUGUACAAUUUUUACUUGAAUAUGUUCAGUUAUGAAGUCGUGUAGUUGUUUUUUCUCAUCAGUUCUAAAUUGCAGUACUUUACUGAAUUGUUGAUGAUGCUGAAUGAAUCUAGCUUGUUGGGUUUAGUCUCUUGUUUAGAUGGAAUAGCACCCCAUCACCUGUUGUUGUUGUUAUUCACCCUAUCCUUGCUGUUCUGUUUUCUUGU